This 116-nucleotide ribosomal RNA is filed under the name Pteropus alecto (black flying fox). Lineage: Eukaryota; Metazoa; Chordata; Mammalia; Chiroptera; Pteropodidae. The record is from RNAcentral.
GACUUCAGCUAUGCCACCCUGAACAAGCCCAAUGUCUGAUCUCGGAAGCUAAACAGGGUCGGACGUUGUUAGUACUUGGAUGGGAGACAACCUAGGAAGACCAAGUACUAUAGGCA